Ipomoea nil (Japanese morning glory) is the source of this 1061-nucleotide long non-coding RNA. RefSeq lists it as uncharacterized. Lineage: Eukaryota; Viridiplantae; Streptophyta; Magnoliopsida; Solanales; Convolvulaceae. The transcript has 2 exons. The record is from RefSeq and is a predicted model, not a curated record.
UUCCUCUCGGUCUUUCCCCAUCUACCAUGGCGGGUCUCAGUGCUUCUCUCCGGCCCCAACCACCGUCUUCCGCAUUCGCCGCCGCCUCCUUCGCCACUAAUCUAGUUCUCCUCUCACUCUGCAGCCCAUCUCCCUUGCGCUCUUCGCCUUCGUCCUCCAAUGGCACAGCGGGGGAGUCGACGAUCCAAUAUCACGGUGGUCCCCCGAGGAGUCGCGCAAGUUUCUGAGAAUGGAUAGCUCGCCUCUGGCCACCGUGGGCCAGUCCUCGGAUUGUUCCCUGCUUUUCCGUCGGAAUUCAGCGACUUUUUCUUACUACAGGGACUAGACCCAAUUCUGAAUCAGAUCUCAAGUCAAAGGUCUGAUUUUUUUGCUCUUUUUUGUUUCGUCGUCGUUUUCAAAGUGCUCUGGGGUUUGAAAUUUCUUUGCAUGAGUGGGUUUCCUCUUUCAUUGUUCCUUUUUUUUGUUAAACUUUUCCUUUCAUUUCAAUUUUUACUUUAUUGAAUUUACUGCAUUCUUUUCUUUAUUAUGUUUGGCAAUUGGUUUGGUCAAAUGAGUUUUUCCCAAGUUCUAAGCAUCUACUACCCAAUAUAAAUUAAUGAUUUUUUUUUCGUUUGGUUAAAGAAGGAAUUGAAAAAAAAAAAAAAAAUUGCUGCAGAUUAGGAUGAUUAUGAACAAAUGGGUUUUGUUUGAUGAAAUGCUUCACUUUUUUGUUCUGAUUCCAUGGAAUCAGUUUGAUUGCUGUCACAAAUAUAAUUUGUGAUAUGAUGGAGUUGCUGAAUCUUUCUUUGGAUUUAUCAUGCUUUGCCGUCGGGAGUCCGCUACUGGAGAGUAAAGCUACUACCAUUGCUGUUGACGAGCGAGAGAGAGGGCUCCACCAUCGCGCCGUUACGCCGGACAGCAUCCAUUACCGACGACCACCACCAUCUGCCGUCAAUACCGUCCAGCCACACAGUCCACGUGGCAUGCUCUGUUGCACUGUCUUCGUUUAUUUAUUCAUGUAUACAUUGUGGAACGAAGAUGAUUUAUACACAGUAAGGGAAAUGACGGUUUUAUCCCUCGAA